Molecule: ribosomal RNA, 308 nt
Filed under: Escherichia coli
Lineage: Bacteria; Pseudomonadati; Pseudomonadota; Gammaproteobacteria; Enterobacterales; Enterobacteriaceae
Description: partial 23S ribosomal RNA
Rfam family: Bacterial large subunit ribosomal RNA
Source: RNAcentral
CCUGCUUCCAGGAAAAGCCUCUAAGCAUCAGGUAACAUCAAAUCGUACCCCAAACCGACACAGGUGGUCAGGUAGAGAAUACCAAGGCGCUUGAGAGAACUCGGGUGAAGGAACUAGGCAAAAUGGUGCCGUAACUUCGGGAGAAGGCACGCUGAUAUGUAGGUGAAGUCCCUCGCGGAUGGAGCUGAAAUCAGUCGAAGAUACCAGCUGGCUGCAACUGUUUAUUAAAAACACAGCACUGUGCAAACACGAAAGUGGACGUAUACGGUGUGACGCCUGCCCGGUGCCGGAAGGUUAAUUGAUGGGGU